RNAcentral lists this ribosomal RNA (432 nucleotides) under Escherichia coli. RNAcentral describes it as "bacterial SSU rRNA". It matches the Rfam family "Bacterial small subunit ribosomal RNA", at positions 283 to 707 of the family's 1533-position model. Lineage: Bacteria; Pseudomonadati; Pseudomonadota; Gammaproteobacteria; Enterobacterales; Enterobacteriaceae. The record is from RNAcentral.
CUAGCUGGUCUGAGAGGAUGACCAGCCACACUGGAACUGAGACACGGUCCAGACUCCUACGGGAGGCAGCAGUGGGGAAUAUUGCACAAUGGGCGCAAGCCUGAUGCAGCCAUGCCGCGUGUAUGAAGAAGGCCUUCGGGUUGUAAAGUACUUUCAGCGGGGAGGAAGGGAGUAAAGUUAAUACCUUUGCUCAUUGACGUUACCCGCAGAAGAAGCACCGGCUAACUCCGUGCCAGCAGCCGCGGUAAUACGGAGGGUGCAAGCGUUAAUCGGAAUUACUGGGCGUAAAGCGCACGCAGGCGGUUUGUUAAGUCAGAUGUGAAAUCCCCGGGCUCAACCUGGGAACUGCAUCUGAUACUGGCAAGCUUGAGUCUCGUAGAGGGGGGUAGAAUUCCAGGUGUAGCGGUGAAAUGCGUAGAGAUCUGGAGGAAU